Molecule: long non-coding RNA, 105 nt
Organism: Sapajus apella (tufted capuchin)
Lineage: Eukaryota; Metazoa; Chordata; Mammalia; Primates; Cebidae
Exons: 3
Source: RefSeq, a predicted model, not a curated record
CUUUUACAACUCAACACUAAAAAGACAAGUAACACAAUUUUAAAGUGAAAAAAAGAUUUGAAUAGAAAUUUUUCCAAAGAAGAUAUAUAAAUGCCAAUAAGCACA